CUUUUCAAGACUAAGAGAGACGUAUUUGUUAACCUGUAAUCUGGGCUAACAUAAAAAGAUGACAUGAACUAUUAUACAGCACCUUCAUGCCAAGCUGUUUGGAAAGUUUACACACAAGAAGCCCUUUCUGAGAGUAGGCCAUGAAAAGCAGCACCAGAACUUUACCAAGAGAGAUUGUAACUACAACUGGAAUCAUCUUUUUUGCCCUUGAACACCAUCAGAAUGGUUGGUGGAAAAUGUGUCCAUCAUACAAGGAUAAG
Long non-coding RNA from Ictalurus punctatus (channel catfish), 260 nucleotides. The record is from Ensembl. NCBI's taxonomy places the organism in Eukaryota, Metazoa, Chordata, Actinopteri, Siluriformes, Ictaluridae.